UACGUAGGGGGCAAGCGUUGUCCGGAUUUAUUGGGCGUAAAGAGCGUGUAGGCGGCCAGGUAGGUCAGCUGUGAAAACUCGAGGCUCAACUUCGAGCUGUCGGUGGAAACUUUCUGGCUAGAGUCCGGAAGAGGAGAAUGGAAUUCCUGGUGUAGCGGUGAAAUGCGCAGAUAUCAGGAAGAACACCCGUGGCGAAGGCGGUUCUCUGGGACGGUACUGACGCUGAGACGCGAAAGCGUGGGGAGCGAACAGG
This 253-nucleotide ribosomal RNA is filed under the name uncultured bacterium. RNAcentral describes it as "partial 16S ribosomal RNA". It matches the Rfam family "Bacterial small subunit ribosomal RNA", at positions 524 to 776 of the family's 1533-position model. The record is from RNAcentral.